Corvus hawaiiensis (hawaiian crow) is the source of this 2120-nucleotide long non-coding RNA. RefSeq lists it as uncharacterized. The transcript has 3 exons. The record is from RefSeq and is a predicted model, not a curated record. Lineage: Eukaryota; Metazoa; Chordata; Aves; Passeriformes; Corvidae.
AAAGAUUGGACAACCCAGGGUUGCUGAGGAAAAGCCCCUGAACAGGCCCCUGACUGCAGGCAGCCCUGAGAGUCCUUGGCAAGGUAUACAGCUGCCCGGCUCCCCCCCUCAUUAGAGGCCAUCUAGAGGGACUGGGUGUGAAUCUUUGCAAAAGUAGAUGUAAGUUGGCAUAGUUGAACAAUAAGGGGAGAACAAUGCUUAAUCGUAUCGGUGUACAUGUCAUUUAUGCGGCCAGCUCUCCGGACUCGGUCCCUAACACCUGUCCUCCUCCUGUCCCCCUGUGCCCCUUUUCUUGGACAAGUCUCAAAUGGCAACACACAUUCCCAAAGACUGUCUGCUUCCUUAAAUCCACGGACCAGCUAGUGCUGUCACUCAACAGCUGAAAUGAGCUUUCAGAGCCUAGAAAUUAGCAGGAGUGACAAACAAAUGGAUUUGAAUCUGGAAAUAGGUGAGGUCCACCCACCCACUGCUGCUGAUGCAGAGACGGGCUCAGGGCAUCUGCGCAGCCCUUCCCUUUGGCACUGAUCCUGCACUGGAAUGUUGUGUUGUUGCCAAACCGGGCCUCAAACCAGGAGAAGGUAAGCCCUGACCAUUUGCCCCUGACCCUGGCACACCCACAGUGUGUUAUGUGGAGCGUGUGCCUCAGCUGGUGUCACUUGAGUUUCACCAGAGUUGCAAGUUGGCUCCUGCUCUGGGCGAUUCCGAGUGACCAUCACAUCAGUUCUGCACUAAGCACCAUUUAGCCAGACCCAGAGAUUUGGCCACAUAGUGACUUCUGAACAGAAAAUCAAAAUGCAGGAAAAGUGCCAGGACCGCGGACGGGCCUGGGUACAGCACAGUCUUUGUGGGUCACUGUCACUCCAGGCCCUUACAGUCUCUCCUCAUCUUUCUUGUAGGCUCCCUUCAGGUACAGGAGCCAUUGCUCACUGGUGUUUUUGACUAUUCUCUGCCAAGGAAAUGAGUUGAAUUUCCUUGUCAAAUCUUAUAGGCUUUUAUACUUGGGCUUCUCUGCUGUGGGAUUCAUACUCAGAGACUGGUGUUGGUGUCUGGACACUUCCAGAAGGUGGAUGUUAUCCCUGGAUGUAUAAAGAAAACGCCUAUCCAUCAUCUCUCAGGCAAUGAGAGCGGUGCAGGUGUCUGGCAUGGCAGCCUUUCCACCAGUUCACUGGUUGAGCUGGUGCCAAGGGAGGCCGUAUGGAGCUGAUGACUUCCUGCCUGUGUUGACAUAGGCCCUAGCCCAGUGUGAUGAGCUGGAGACUGAAAUCGAAUACAUGACAGAGUGGCUGGAUCCAUCCUUGGUGUAUGGAGAAGCUAAAGGCUGAGAGGGGACACUGUCGGUAAUACAGAAAAUACUACCCUGUGUACAGAACGCAUCUCUGAACGCCUCUGAACAGACUGUGCCGCCUCUUAGCUGGACACUCCCACCCAAAUGGCUGACUUGGAAAAGAUAAGACAGACAGUGGGUCUCCUGUUGCUGCGGACCGUUACCUCCCGUCGAGACUCUUUUACUUUGUGACCUGCAGCUUCUUUUGUACAGCUUCUGUUGUGGCUUUAAUUUGUUCUCUGUUUGUGUAAUAAAGGUGGAGUAUGCAGGACUGUACACACCAUCUCCCGAACAAGUUGGACAUUAUGGGGAAUGCCACAAAGGUGACAGACCAGUUGUUGUUUUAAAAACAAAGGCAACCCUUUGGGAUGAUUGCAGAGUACAAAUCUCACACUCAAUUGUUGCUUUAUUGCCACUAAGAGCGGUUGCUUUGAUGUUGAUGAACACCGGUAGAUUGUCUUUUACUUUGUUUAAGCAGCCGUGUUUAUUUCAUCCACCUCUGAAGCUUGGGAAGAAGACAAAACCCUGUUAGAUAAUCAUUUAAAAUAAAGCUGGUGUUCCAAGAGUAGAGGAAUAAACACGUGGGAGUAAAGGAGAGACAGGAGUCAUUUAAGGAAUCGGCUUUCCUCAGCAUGAGGGGACCCAGCCGUAGGCACCGCCGUAUCAUAUGGAGCACAUGCAACCACUGAAUGCGUCUCAGUGGCUGAGAAUACACCCUCCAGCGUUUUGCAGGCCAAUGAGCUGUUUUCCUUUUGUGUGUAAAUAUUUUGGCCAUAGAAUAAAGGGACUUUCUGUA